AUGCACGCUGGCGGCGUGCCUCAUACCUGCCAGUCGAGCGAACAGACGAGGAGCUUGCUCCUUCGACGUUAGCGGCGGACGGGUGAGUAACACGUAGGUAACCUACCUAUAAGACUGGGAUAACUUCGGGAAACCGGAGCUAAUACCGGAUAAUAUUUCGAACCGCAUGGUUCGAUAGUGAAAGAUGGCUUUGCUAUCACUUAUAGAUGGACCUGCGCCGUAUUAGCUAGUUGGUAAGGUAACGGCUUACCAAGGCAACGAUACGUAGCCGACCUGAGAGGGUGAUCGGCCACACUGGAACUGAGACACGGUCCAGACUCCUACGGGAGGCAGCAGUAGGGAAUCUUCCGCAAUGGGCGAAAGCCUGACGGAGCAACGCCGCGUGAGUGAUGAAGGUCUUCGGAUCGUAAAACUCUGUUAUUAGGGAAGAACAAACGUGUAAGUAACUGUGCACGUCUUGACGGUACCUAAUCAGAAAGCCACGGCUAACUACGUG
RNAcentral lists this ribosomal RNA (496 nucleotides) under uncultured bacterium. RNAcentral describes it as "partial 16S ribosomal RNA". It matches the Rfam family "Bacterial small subunit ribosomal RNA", at positions 29 to 507 of the family's 1533-position model. The record is from RNAcentral.